RNAcentral lists this non-coding RNA (97 nucleotides) under unclassified sequences. RNAcentral's name for it is "skipping-rope RNA". It matches the Rfam family "skipping-rope RNA". Rfam says of the family: Firmicutes, Fusobacteria, AlphaProteobacteria, Spirochaetes. Downstream gene The record is from Rfam by way of RNAcentral.
UUUGUCUGAGGUGAGAAAUUUUGCCACCCACUCACACACUGAGUCCGUAAAAGGCCAGUCAAGGUAGAUGCAGGGCGUGGUGGACCUGCCAGACAAA